GAUGAACGCUGGCGGCGUGCCUAAUACAUGCAAGUCGAGCGAACAGACGAGGAGCUUGCUCCUCUGACGUUAGCGGCGGACGGGUGAGUAACACGUGGAUAACCUACCUAUAAGACUGGGAUAACUUCGGGAAACCGGAGCUAAUACCGGAUAAUAUAUUGAACCGCAUGGUUCAAUAGUGAAAGACGGUUUUGCUGUCACUUAUAGAUGGAUCCGCGCCGCAUUAGCUAGUUGGUAAGGUAACGGCUUACCAAGGCAACGAUGCGUAGCCGACCUGAGAGGGUGAUCGGCCACACUGGAACUGAGACACGGACCAGACUCCUACGGGAGGCAGCAGUAGGGAAUCUUCCGCAAUGGGCGAAAGCUUGACGGAGCAACGCCGCGUGAGUGAUGAAGGUCUUCGGAUCGUAAAACUCUGUUAUUAGGGAAGAACAAAUGUGUAAGUAACUAUGCACGUCUUGACGGUACCUAAUCAGAAAGCAACGGCUAACUACGUG
This 497-nucleotide ribosomal RNA is filed under the name uncultured bacterium. RNAcentral's name for it is "partial 16S ribosomal RNA". It matches the Rfam family "Bacterial small subunit ribosomal RNA", at positions 28 to 507 of the family's 1533-position model. The record is from RNAcentral.